RNAcentral lists this ribosomal RNA (253 nucleotides) under uncultured bacterium. RNAcentral describes it as "partial 16S ribosomal RNA". It matches the Rfam family "Bacterial small subunit ribosomal RNA", at positions 524 to 776 of the family's 1533-position model. The record is from RNAcentral.
UACGUAGGUGGCAAGCGUUAUCCGGAAUUAUUGGGCGUAAAGCGCGCGCAGGCGGUCCUUUAAGUCUGAUGUGAAAGCCCACGGCUCCACCGUGGAGGGUCAUUGGAAACUGGGGGACUUGAGUGCAGAAGAGGAGAGCGGAAUUCCACGUGUAGCGGUGAAAUGCGUAGAGAUGUGGAGGAACACCAGUGGCGAAGGCGGCUCUCUGGUCUGUAACUGACGCUGAGGCGCGAAAGCGUGGGGAGCGAACAGG